GCGUCCGUAGCUCAGUUGGUUAGAGCACCACCUUGACAUGGUGGGGGUCGGUGGUUCGAGUCCACUCGCACGCACCA
Molecule: transfer RNA, 77 nt
Filed under: Escherichia coli
Lineage: Bacteria; Pseudomonadati; Pseudomonadota; Gammaproteobacteria; Enterobacterales; Enterobacteriaceae
Description: tRNA-Val
Rfam family: tRNA
About the family: Transfer RNA (tRNA) molecules are approximately 80 nucleotides in length. Their secondary structure includes four short double-helical elements and three loops (D, anti-codon, and T loops).
Source: RNAcentral